AUACGGAGGGUGCAAGCGUUAAUCGGAAUUACUGGGCGUAAAGGGUUCGUAGGCGGUUAUUUAAGUCAGAUGUGAAAGCCCCGGGCUCAACCUGGGAAUUGCAUCUGAUACUGGGUAACUAGAGUCUAAGAGAGGAGUGUGGAAUUUCCGGUGUAGCGGUGAAAUGCAUAGAGAUCGGAAGGAACAUCAGUGGCGAAGGCGGCACUCUGGCUUAAAUCUGACGCUGAGGAACGAAAGCGUGGGUAGCAAACAGGAUUAGAAACCCUAGUAGUCC
Molecule: ribosomal RNA, 274 nt
Filed under: uncultured bacterium
Lineage: Bacteria
Description: partial 16S ribosomal RNA
Rfam family: Bacterial small subunit ribosomal RNA
Source: RNAcentral